UUUCGGGUUAAUGAAAAACUUGAGGAAUGUUUAUUUUGAGGGGACGGCAUGUCCCUUAUAAAGCAAAAAUUAUAUCAUGUGCAUUGUCAGAGAUAACAUGGAAUAAUACAUCAAUAAUUGGUUAGGUGUUAAGUGGUUCAUUUAGUGCUCUUCCUACCGGGUGUGAUGUCACUGGUAUCUUGGAGGUAUCCCCCAGAUUCCAGCGCCAUCUUGUUAAUGAGGGUGUUAGUCGAUGUCAAAGGGAAACUCCCUAGCGGUCUUUUUAGGUAAAUCACAUUUAUGGUUGACUAAUGCUGAUUGUGCUUAUUCUGAGUAAAUAGGCAUUUUAUUAAAAUGAAUUGGGUUAAUUUUUGUCCACAACAAUAUCCAACAGUAAGAGGUAUAGAAAGACAUAAAAAAAAAAAAAUCUUAGAAAUAUAAAAAUAUUAAUGACAAAUUAAAAUAAUAAGCAGUGUGUGGGGCUUGCACAUACAGCAGCUACAUGAUUCUAAAUAUUCUAAAUAAAAAAAAAAAAUAUAUAUAUAUACACACACCUGAUACAUUAUUUACAUAAACUAUUUUUAAACUCUAUAAGAUCAUAUUAAAAUAGCUACUUCACACUAUUUCACAUUUGUAGACCUACUAUAAUAUGGUAUAUUUCAUAAUAUAAAAAGUUAACACUAUUAUAGUAAUAAAUACGGAAAAAUAUAGCCCUAAAUAUAUAAUAAAAAAAGGAGAUCUUUAAGAAAUGGCACAAUUCUAAAUCACUGUUAAGCCCAAAUGGCUGUAAAGUAUUCAAAUCCCGUAAUUUCAGUUCGUUCCAUGUUUUUAAUGAUAUCUUCAACCCUCGAAUUAAUGUUAACUUCUCAAAUUCCUAUAAAGUCAAAGCUUUUAAAAAUGAGAUAUACAAAUAUAUUCGGGGCCAAUACAAACCAUUGUGUGGAAAUCUAUUCACAAACCGGACUUUACAUAGGAUACAAGGUCAUGCGUUUAGACUGGAAGAAAGAAGAUUUCGUCUAAGGCAAAGGAAAGGUUUUUUUUUUUUACUGUAAGAACAAUCAGGAUGUGGAAUUCUCUGCCUGAAGAAGUGGUUUUAUCAGAGUCCAUACAGAUGUUCAAACAGCUACCAGAUGUAUACUUGCAAAAACGGAAUAUUCAAGGAUAUAAUCUUUCAAUGUAGGGUAAUAACUGCUUGAUCCAAGGAUAAAUCUGACUGCCAUUCUGGGGUCAAGAAGGAUUUUUUCCCCCUAGCUUAUUGGAAGUGCUUCAAACGUUUUUUUUUUUGCCUUCUUUUGGAUCAACAGCAAAAAAUAAAUGUGAAGAAAGGCUGAAUUUGAUAGUCGCAAGUCUCUUUUCAGCUAUGUAACUUUUUUCAUAAAACCAUUUUAUCACAUUCCCAAUAUGUUCUUCUAUGCACACCUGGAGUGCGACCAACAUAAAAGAGUCCACAUAAAUACAUGAAUACAUUUUUACUAUAGCAGGUGAUUGUAUCCUUUAUAUAAUUUUUUUAUUUUUAUUUUGAAGAUGGAUGAAACGCUUUAGAUUUCUUUUCUUACUAUGCAUAUUUUUGCAAGCCAUACAGAUUCCACAACCAUAGAAUUCCUUUGAUUCAUUCAAAAAGUGUAAUGUAGAUUAUUAAGUGUUUUUGCAUAGCAAGACCACUUAAUGUUAUCUCACAUAUAUAUUAUUAUUCUUAUUAUAGCCAAAUUUACCACCCUAACACCUCCCACAGUUUUUACACUACAUAGACAGUAAUAUACCGAAACGUGCGGAUUGUUCCCGAUCGGAUUGUUAUUACUUUGUGGAACGUUUCGCCGAAUUGUUCACGGAAUAUCAUCGUUCUUGUGGCGAAAUUGGUCCCAUAGGAAUGAAUGGCAAAAUGUUCAAAACUAGAGUGGGAGUUGGCAAAAGCUGAAAAAUCAGGACAUCACAGUGCAGGUGGAAAAAGUAUGUGAACCCUUGGAUUUAAUAACUGGUUGAACCUCCUUUGGCAGCAAUAACUUCAACCAAACGUUUCCUGUAGUUGCAGAUCAGACGUGCACAACGGUCAGGAGUAAUUCUUGACCAUUCCUCUUUACAGAACGGUUUCAGUUCAGCAAUAUUCUUGGGAUGUCUGGUGUGAAUCGCUUUCUUGAGGUCAUGCUACAGCAUCUCAAUCGGGUUGAGGCUUUUUUUGCCACACAUAAUGUUGUGUGUUUCUUCCAAACAACUCAACUUUGGUUUCAUCUGUCCACAGAAUAUUUUGCCAGUACUGCUGUGGAACAUCCAGGUGCUCUUGUGUAAACUGUAAACGUGCAGCAAUGUUUUGUUUAGACAGCAGUGGCUUCCUCCUUGGUAUCCUCCUAUGAAAUCCAUUCUUGUUUAGUGUUUUACGUAUUGUAGAUUCGCUAACAGGGAUGUUAGGAUUUGCCAGUGACUUUUGUAAGUCUUUAGCUUGCACUCUAGGAUUCUUCUUCACCUCACUGAGCAGUCUGCGCUGUGCACUUGCGGUUAUCUUUACAGGACUGCCACUCCUAGGGAGUAGUAGUGCUGAACUUUCUCCAUUUAUAGACAAUUUUGUCUUACCGUGGACUGAUGAACAGCAAGACUUUUGGAGAUACUUUUAUAACCCUAUUCCAGCUUUAUGCAAGUCAACAAUUCUUAAUCGUGGGUCUUCUGAGAGCUCUUUUGUGCGAGGCAUCAUUCACAUCAGGCAAUGCUUCUUGUGAAAAGCAAACUCAGAACUGGUGUGUGUUUUUUAUAGGGCAGGGCAGUUGUAACCAACACCUCCAAUCUCAUCUUAUUGAUUGGACUCCAGUUGGCUGUCAUCUCACUCCAAUUAGCUCUUGAAGAUGUCAUUAGUCUAGGGGUUCACAUACUUUUUCCACCUGCACUGUGAAUGUUUACAUGGUGUGUUCAAUAAAAACAUGGCAACAUUUCAUUCUUUGUGUGUUAUUAGUUUACGCAAACUGUGAUUGUCUAUUGUUGUGACUUAUAUGAUGAUCAGAUCACAUUUUAUGACCAAUUUGUGUAGAAAUCCAUAUCAUUCCAAAGGGUUCACAUACUUUUUCUUGCAACUGUAUCAAUAUGUUCAGCUAUCCCUGCUGCCACUAAAAAUGUCCACGGCUAAGCCAUAGUCCUGAUAGUUUUCACAAUAUGACCAUUUGUUUGCAACUCACGCCAUCCAUUAACAUGCAUUGAAACUCCACUCUAGCCAGCACAAACGUGAAGGGCAAUUUCUAAACUGCGACUGUGCCUUCAUUUUUAAUACCUCAGAGACAUACUAUGCAUCAAAAUGUAGGUCUGAGUCUUGUGAUUCUCUUCGCUGUAGGAUGUAUAGUUUUUAGAAUAUGACCGUUUGAAGAUGGCAACUUCCAAAAUACUCUGACCUGUGCCAGGCUGGAGCAGCAAGUGAUGUCAUAGACAGGGCCUUUUGUACACCUGCUAAAUGUUUUUAUAAAUGUAUGUUUUAAUGUAACUGUGAAGCACUUUGAGCAACAACGUUGC
Molecule: non-coding RNA, 3465 nt
Organism: Pelobates cultripes (western spadefoot toad)
Lineage: Eukaryota; Metazoa; Chordata; Amphibia; Anura; Pelobatidae
Source: the annotation of a GenBank genome assembly